UACGGAGGUGGCAAGCGUUGCUCGGAUUUACUGGGUGUAAAGGGCACGUAGGCGGCCCUGUAAGCCCUGCCUGAAACGCUCUGGCUCAACCAGAGCAUGCGGUAGGGGACUGCAAGGCUUGAGGAUGAGAGAGGCGAGCGGAAUUCCCGGUGUAAGGGUGAAAUCUGUAAAGAUCGGGAGGAACACCAGUGGCGAAGGCGGCUCGCUGGCUCAUUUCUGACGCUGAGGUGCGAAAGCUAGGGGAGCGAACAGG
This 253-nucleotide ribosomal RNA is filed under the name uncultured bacterium. Its description in RNAcentral is "partial 16S ribosomal RNA". It matches the Rfam family "Bacterial small subunit ribosomal RNA", at positions 524 to 776 of the family's 1533-position model. The record is from RNAcentral.